AUUGAACGCUGGCGGCAGGCCUAACACAUGCAAGUCGAGCGGAUGACGGGAGCUUGCUCCUUGAUUCAGCGGCGGACGGGUGAGUAAUGCCUAGGAAUCUGCCUGGUAGUGGGGGACAACGUUUCGAAAGGAACGCUAAUACCGCAUACGUCCUACGGGAGAAAGCAGGGGACCUUCGGGCCUUGCGCUAUCAGAUGAGCCUAGGUCGGAUUAGCUAGUUGGUGGGGUAAUGGCUCACCAAGGCGACGAUCCGUAACUGGUCUGAGAGGAUGAUCAGUCAAACUGGAACUGAGACACGGUCCAGACUCCUACGGGAGGCAGCAGUGGGGAAUAUUGGACAAUGGGCGAAAGCCUGAUCCAGCCAUGCCGCGUGUGUGAAGAAGGUCUUCGGAUUGUAAAGCACUUUAAGUUGGGAGGAGGGGCAGUAAGUUAAUACCUUGCUGUUUUGACGUUACCGACAGAAUAAGCACCGGCUAACUCUGUGCCAGCCGCCGCCGUAA
RNAcentral lists this ribosomal RNA (500 nucleotides) under uncultured bacterium. RNAcentral's name for it is "partial 16S ribosomal RNA". It matches the Rfam family "Bacterial small subunit ribosomal RNA", at positions 30 to 523 of the family's 1533-position model. The record is from RNAcentral.